Molecule: long non-coding RNA, 2374 nt
Organism: Alexandromys fortis (reed vole)
Lineage: Eukaryota; Metazoa; Chordata; Mammalia; Rodentia; Cricetidae
Exons: 5
Source: RefSeq, a predicted model, not a curated record
CUGAACCCACUCCUGCCUCAGUUUCUGGCCACUCAUUCCACUUUCUGACUUUCUUGUGGGUACCCUGGCUUUUCUGGGGAGCUGGGAAGUUGACACAUCCCAACUCGAGGCAUUUUCCCAGACAGUGGGAGAUUUCUAGUAAUUCUCCCUCUUUUCUGACUUCCUUCACCCCCUCCUACACCCCACAAAAGCAUGUGAGAAAAGAGAAAACCACCGACAGACGCUGGGGAAAGGAACUGGAAUGGGACCUUCAAGACUCCAGACCCAUCUGGAACAUCUGAUAAGACCUAGAGAUCCAAGAAUCAAUCAAAGUUCACCGUCUACCAAGAGGAGCGGCGGUGUACUGUCCAGGCUUAUCCUGCCAUCUUCCCUGCCCACCCAAGACCAUUCUCCAGGCGAGAGACUGUUACAGGUAGAUGCAGCUGCCAUCCUGGCGAUUAGAGUUACUGUGCAUAACCACACUGACGGCUCAGCUUGAAACAAAAGCAAAAAGAAAAAAAACAGGCUGCAAGUUCCAUGACGGAGGAAGGCAGAAGGUGGGGUCCGCAAGUGAAGCUCACUCCAGGGGAACACACAGACUAGCUAGCGACCUGAUACUAACAGUGUUCAAAGAUGGGGAAAUUUACACAUCUAAGAGCAUGUGUGAGUUUAUUUGCUAGUCCAUUUUGUUUAAAUGCAUAUAAUUAGCUCUCUCUCUCCCUCUCUCUCUGUAUAUGUGUGUGAGUUAGGAUACAUUUGAAGUUCUCUUGUCCUUCAUCUCCUACCUUAAUUUCCUCUUGUGAGUCAUGGAUUCUGACAUUUACUUUUGUAAUUCCUAAUACAUUCUCCAGGAACAUAGCUAGAAUAUUAUUGCUUUCCUGCCUCUUUAAAUUUGCAUAAAUGCUGUGACCCAUGUGUGUCUUGCUUUCUAGCUUUUCUGUCAACCAGGAAGUAUGUUUUCUUCCCUCAACAUUGGUUUUGAAUCUGAAUGUCAGUUGUGGCUGUUCAAAGGACAUGUGGCUAGCCUUGUUUCUGCCUGACAGGAUCCUGGCAUCAGACACCUGGGGCUGUGAAUGACAUCCAUGCAUGGAAAGCUCUGGCGACAAGUUCAAGGAAGGAACUUUUGACUGAGGCCAAUAUGGUCCCCCAAAUAUUUGUAAGCAGCCAAAAUCAGGCUUGAACAAUGAAUAGAGAGGUCCAUCUCCCCACCCUUGUGACUUCUGCCCCACACAGUAAAAUAAAAUAAAAAGAGAAGAAGAAGAAAAUACCAAGUCUCCUUGGUAUUUCCCAUAUACUCACUGGAGCACGGUCAAACUUCCAGUGGCCAGCCCCUUGAAGAAAACUAAGUCCUUCCCCAUGGCCCUGCCAAAAGUCAUCAGCGAUGGAGAACUAUACAUCAGCAUCUUUAUCACAAUGUGUAAGGUCUCCCUUUAAUGACUUCCUGUCUAGACUGUUUCUUUUUGUGGGUAGGGGUGAGGAGGAGAGAUUGUCACAGAAGCCUUCAACGUCUCUCAUUCUCAACUGUGAAUCUACAGUCAAUGAUACUAUGCAAAAGACGCUUAAGCCCUUUAUAGUCGGCAGCAGUAUGGCUCAUGGACAUCCUUCUUGCCUACAGCAUCAGCAUGAACCAGGGACCUCAGUCUGAUUCUUCAGUGGCAGUAUAGACCACAGAUAUUAAUAUGGCCCUCAUCUGCAACCCGGCCCUUGAUCGCAGCAUAAACCACCAACACCAUUAUGGACCUCGGAGGCAGCACAGGGCGUGUACAUCAACAUGGCCACCAAAGGCAGCACAGCCCAUGGAUGUCCCCCUGUCCUUUUGUAGUACCAUGACCCAUAAACAUGGCAUCCAGCAGCAAUACAGACCAUGGAUAUUAGGCAUCAGUGCAGUCUGGAGCAGCAGACUGGAACACAGAUACCAGCAUGUCCCCCACUGACCACAGAUACCAACAUGGCCUCCAGGGACAGCACAGACCAUGGAGGUCUUUGAAGAGGUCUAGUCCAGAAAACACACCAUUCUCCAUCUCUGACAUCUUGUUGCUCAAGCCAGGGCAGAAGCUUAUUCUUUAGGUGUGAUGAGGUCGCAGAUCAAGAGACAAUGGCCAUCGAAGAAAGCAGAUAUUGGAAGUAUAGCUCAGCAGUAGAGCACUUGCCUAGGAUGCAUAAGGCAAGUUCAAUCCCAGCACUAGUGGUGAAAAGAGAAUGAGUAUUUCUGUGCUGGGAUGAGUAUCUGAUGUAUUUAAGUUUGUCUUCCAUGCCUCUGAUUCAGAGCUCAGUACAUGUGUGCCUGUAUGUGUGAUAUGGUAGUCAUUUAUUAAAAGAGACAAAUAUAUUGACAGCAACCUUAGAAAACAAAUCUCCACCAUAAAUGUUGGAAUCAGUGAGGGUACAGGUUGAU